RNAcentral lists this ribosomal RNA (429 nucleotides) under Bacteroidota bacterium. RNAcentral's name for it is "Bacteroidetes bacterium partial 16S ribosomal RNA". It matches the Rfam family "Bacterial small subunit ribosomal RNA", at positions 355 to 776 of the family's 1533-position model. Lineage: Bacteria; Pseudomonadati; Bacteroidota. The record is from RNAcentral.
UAGGGAAUCUUCCGCAAUGGGCGAAAGCCUGACGGAGCAACGCCGCGUGAGUGAUGAAGGUCUUCGGAUCGUAAAACUCUGUUAUUAGGGAAGAACAAAUGUGUAAGUAACUAUGCACAUCUUGACGGUACCUAAUCAGAAAGCCACGGCUAACUACGUGCCAGCAGCCGCGGUAAUACGUAGGUGGCAAGCGUUAUCCGGAAUUAUUGGGCGUAAAGCGAGCGCAGGCGGUCAAUUAAGUCUGAUGUGAAAGCCCCCGGCUCAACCGGGGAGGGUCAUUGGAAACUGGUUGACUUGAGUGCAGAAGAGGAGAGUGGAAUUCCAUGUGUAGCGGUGAAAUGCGUAGAUAUAUGGAGGAACACCAGUGGCGAAGGCGACUCUCUGGUCUGUAACUGACGCUGAGGCUCGAAAGCGUGGGUAGCAAACAGG